This 3160-nucleotide long non-coding RNA is filed under the name Marmota monax (woodchuck). The stretch from base 2248 to 2308 matches the Rfam family "tRNA", at positions 6 to 65 of the family's 71-position model. The record is from RNAcentral. Lineage: Eukaryota; Metazoa; Chordata; Mammalia; Rodentia; Sciuridae.
GAGAAUAAUGGGUACAUGUUCAUAAUUAGAAUACAGAAGAGCAAAAGACAAAAUGUAUUUAAGGAAAAAAAUGUGUGGCUAAUAGCACUAAUAGCACAUUAUAUUUUUAUGAUGCAUUUCUUGAUUGAUAUGGUAUAUUUGUAAUUUAGACAAGUCUAGGGAGUAGAGUCACCAAAACUUUUAGAAAUAUAUGAAAUGUUUGACUUCUAAUUAGUUUAACUUUGUACGUAAGGAAAACAACAUUUAGGGGGCAUAUAUCUAACCUCACUUUCUGAAGUAGAUUGUUUUGGUUGAAAUCUACUUCAUAGAUACUUGUUAAAUAAUUGUUCACCCAUUCAUUUUUCCAUCAGAAAUCAAAGGAAAUGUAGAAACAGUAUAAACUUUCAAUCACAUCAAAAUUGGGGAGAGGGCCACUGGUGUUUGAGCCUUAGGCUUUAUACAUGCUUAGAAAAUACUCUGAACCACAUCCCCAGCUAAAAUAAACCUUAAAUCCACUUAAAUUCAAAAACUUGGUUUUUAAGAUUAUAAACUGUAUUCUUGGAUCAUAUAUGAAUACUGUUUUAUUGCAUGUCUGAUCUUGACACUAAGUUUUAAAGGAGUCUUCUCUUAUUAAAUGUAGUCUGUGUUUUUAAGUAAUUAUAUCCAAGAAGCAAAAGUAAAGCAAAAACAAAUUUUAAUCGGCCUUCUGUAAAUUUUAUUUACUUGGAUAUUUACUAAAGCUUUGAAUUUUGUAAUAGGGUAAUGAAAUAAAAUGCCUUGAUAGUUAAAAUUGUCAUAGUUUAAUUAGACCUCAAAAUUUGGUCGUCCUUUACAGAUUUAAAUAGUAGCUGUUUUAAAAUUUUCCUUUGGAUACAUUAUUGAAAUAUAUAAUACUACUUGUUCAUUAUUCUGUUCUUAAGCAAGGAUAGUUAUUCUGUGUCCUAGAGGCUAAAGCAUAGCUGGUUCCCUAGAGCUUCAAGGGCAAAAUUUGCAGCAUAUCAGAAUUAAGAAAUUACUAGCUUACACUAGGCUCUAGGUCCAAUCCUUAGCACUGCAAAAAAAGAAAAAGUAAUUGCUAUCACUAAUAUGUUGAUGCUGGAUUAAAAGUAAAAUUAAGCUGGGCACCACAGCGCAUACCUGCCAUCCUAAUUACUCAGGAGGCUGAGGCAGGAGAAUCACAAAUUCAAGGCUAGCCUGGGCAACUUAGACCUUUCUGAAAAUAAAAUUUAAAAGAGCUAGGGAUGUAGCUCAAAGGUGGAACACUUCUAGUAAGGUUCAGUCCCCAGAGCACACACAAAAAAAAGUUAAACAUUCAAAAAGCCUAAAGCAGUGUAGUUUCACAGAAGGAUAUUUUGUGCCAAGUAUUAGCAUAUGGAUAUCCAUGUGCCAUAGAAACAGUCUAAACUUGAUUCAAAAGAAAUGUUAAUUUACUAAAGUGGCCCCUUCUUGAAGUCAUAGAAUAAGAUCAACUUUGAUAGCUGGUAGGUAGAAAAUAAUUGGAAAGGAAAAAGCAAACCUUAACCACUCUAGGAGAUUAUUGUUGCUGUUGAGCAAAAAGAAAGAGAUAUGUACCUUCUCUGUUUACCUGGAAUUCUUUCACUGAAUCUUUCAAUUUGCUCUUACGUUUAAAUAAAAAAUUUUCAUAUUUUCUUGUGGGAAUAAUUCUAGUAAUAUAAAUUUAUCAGGCUUUCAACUUAGAAUCUGUUUCAGAUUUAAAAUAGAAGGAUUAAAAAUGGGAAAUCUUCUUAAGGUUGUUUACUAAAACAUUAAAGAUAAAAUUGCAAUAUUGUCACAGAAAGUAAUGCUAACAGAAAUUACAACAUGUUUCUCUUGGAAAUUAUCCAUUAAACAGGAAAAUUAGCCAGGCAAUGCAGUGCACACCUGAAAUCCCAGCAGCUUGGGGAGCCUGAAGCCAGGAGGAAGGCAAAUUCAAAGCCCUUAGCAACUUUCUGAGACCCUGUCUCAAAAUAUAGAAUAAAAAGGGAUGGGAGUGUGGCCCAGUUGUUGAGCAACCCUGGGUUCAGUCUCUGGUACCAAGAAGGAAAGGAAAAUUAAAGAUGGAGGAAAGAAUUAAAAGAAAUAUCCUUAAGUAAGUAGGGAAAAAUCUGAUAAUCAAGGGAAGGGAUUUGUCUUAGGAACAGUGAUGAUUUAUCCAUAAUGGAACAGUUAUAUGGGCAUAGAUACAUGUAGAUAAAUUUAGGCCAAGUUCUCUUCUGAUGGCUUCUGUUUUUUGUAAGGAUAAAAGGAGGGGAUAUUAGGAGCUGGGGUUGUGGCUCAGUGGUAGAGCACUUGCCUAGCAUGUGUGAGGCACUGGGUUUGAUUCUCAGCACUACAUAUAAAUAAAUAAAAUAAAGAUCCAUUGACAACUAAAAAAUAUUUUUACAAAAGCAGGGGAGCGGGUAUUGGAAGUUUGAAGAGGGAAAGAAAACAGCUGUCUUGUAUUUUUCUAGGAAAAUGAUAGAAUGAAUGAACCAAGAUCACCAGACAGCUCUUGAACCAAUUUUAGGUAUAAAAAGUAAUUAUAAAGUUAAAUUUUCUUCAUUCACAGUUGACAUGAUCUUAUGUUUAGAAAACCCUUAAGAUUCCUCACACAAAAAAAAACUUAACUGAUGGCCAAAUUUGGCAAAUUUGUAAGGUACAAAAUCACCACAGAAAUCAGUUGCAUUUCUAAACACUUAACAGUGAACAAUGUAAAAUUGAAGUUAGGAGAACAAUUCCAUUUACAGAGCUUUAAAAAGAAUAAAAUACUUAGAAUAAACUUAGCCAAGGAAGUGAAAGAAUUGUACAUAGCAAACUAUAAAAUAUUGCUGAAAGAAAUUAAGGCAAAUAAAUGGAAAGACAUCCCAUUUUAAUGAAUUGGAAGACUUAGCAUUAAGAUAAUAAUCCAACUGAAAGUGAUCUACAGAUUCAAUGCAGUCUUUGUCAAAAUCCCAACAGUUUGUUACAGAAAUAGGAAAAUCCAACUUAAGAUUUAUAUGGAAUCUCAAGGAACACCAAAUAACCAAAACAAUCUUGAAAAAGAACAGAAUUGGAGGUUUCACACUACCCGAUUUAAAAACAAAAGCUAUGGAAAUCAAAACAGUGUGGUAUUGGCAUAAAGAUAUCUAGACCAAUGGAAAUAGAGUUGAGAGCCCAGAAUAAAUCCUAGCAUAUAUGUUCAAAUGAUUUUCAACAAAAGUGC